AUUGAACGCUGGCGGCAGGCCUAACACAUGCAAGUCGASCGGUAACACAAGGGAGCUUGCUCCUGAGGUGACGAGCGGCGGACGGGUGAGUAAUGCCUAGGUAUCUGCCCAGUCGAGGGGGAUAACAGUUGGAAACGACUGCUAAUACCGCAUACGCCCUACGGGGGAAAGGAGGGGACCUUCGGGCCUUUCGCGAUUGGAUGAACCUAGGUGGGAUUAGCUAGUAGGUGGGGUAAUGGCUCACCUAGGCAACGAUCCCUAGCUGGUCUGAGAGGAUGAUCAGCCACACUGGAACUGAGACACGGUCCAGACUCCUACGGGAGGCAGCAGUGGGGAAUAUUGCACAAUGGGCGAAAGCCUGAUGCAGCCAUGCCGCGUGUAUGAAGAAGGCCUUCGGGUUGUAAAGUACUUUCAGCGAGGAGGAAAGCUCAAUUGUUAAUAGCGAUUGGGUGUGACGUUACUCGCAGAAGAAGCACCGGCUAACU
This 485-nucleotide ribosomal RNA is filed under the name Shewanella sp. ANG.D13. Its description in RNAcentral is "bacterial SSU rRNA". It matches the Rfam family "Bacterial small subunit ribosomal RNA", at positions 30 to 502 of the family's 1533-position model. The record is from RNAcentral. Lineage: Bacteria; Pseudomonadati; Pseudomonadota; Gammaproteobacteria; Alteromonadales; Shewanellaceae.